This 460-nucleotide ribosomal RNA is filed under the name uncultured bacterium. RNAcentral's name for it is "partial 16S ribosomal RNA". It matches the Rfam family "Bacterial small subunit ribosomal RNA", at positions 338 to 795 of the family's 1533-position model. The record is from RNAcentral.
CCUACGGGGUGCAGCAGUGAGGAAUAUUGGUCAAUGGCCGGAAGGCUGAACCAGCCAUGCCGCGUGAAGGUCAGUGCCCUAUGGGCGUUAAACUUCUUUUGUGCGGGAGCAAUAAUGGUCACGUGUGGCCAGACGAGAGUACCGUACGAAUAAGCAUCGGCUAACUUCGUGCCAGCAGCCGCGGUAAUACGGGGGAUGCAAGCGUUAUCCGGAAUUAUUGGGUUUAAAGGGUGCGUAGGCUGUGAGGUAAGUCAGCGGUGAAAUGCCCCCGCUCAACGGGGUGAAGUGCCAUUGAUACUGCCUGGCUGGAAUGCAGAUGCGGUGGGAGGAAUGUGUGGUGUAGCGGUGAAAUGCAUAGAUAUCACAAAGAACACCGAUUGCGAAGGCAUCUCACGAAUCCGCGAUUGACGCUGAUGCACGAAAGCGUGGGUAUCAAACAGGAUUAGAUACCCUAGUAGUC